AAUAUAACCCUGUGGCAACAUUUGUAAAAGUGACUCUGAGAAGACAGAAAGAUCCUCUAUGAGAGGCUGGUGUCCCCAGGAAUUGGCGAGGCCUGCUGAGGAUCAUUUGGGUAAAUGUCAUGGUCACGCGGCCCCAUUCUCUUCGCUGAGCUCCGGAUUUCCGUAGCCAAUUGUCUGCUGGACAUUCCUCCCUGAGACAUCUCACAGGAAACUGACUUUUCUCAAAAAUGAACUCUCCCUACCAAUCUGCACCAUGAAAUUAUUUCAGCAAAAAAUAAUGGUUGCCCAUCACCGCACACUGCGUGUGACUCAGCCAUCACUCACAGGCAAAGAAGGGUGUUCUCUCCUCUCCCUGUCAGUUACUAAUUCUCUGUAAAUGACCAUUUGACAUCCUGGCCGGGGAGGAUUCAGAUCAGAGAUGACUUCCCCACUGCCACAAAGUAUGGUUCUGGGAAGGACAACCAGCCCCAAGGCCACGAAGGUUCUGAAAAAGUUUCUUCUCAUUUGAAGUCCAGUAUUUCCUCGGCCCCAUUUUUCUGUUAAACAAUCCUUUUCCCUUGGAGAUUGCUAAAGCUUAGCUCCAGGGC
This 587-nucleotide long non-coding RNA is filed under the name Pan troglodytes (chimpanzee). RNAcentral describes it as "lincRNA". Lineage: Eukaryota; Metazoa; Chordata; Mammalia; Primates; Hominidae. The record is from RNAcentral.